Mizuhopecten yessoensis (Yesso scallop) is the source of this 254-nucleotide long non-coding RNA. RefSeq lists it as uncharacterized. The record is from RefSeq and is a predicted model, not a curated record. NCBI's taxonomy places the organism in Eukaryota, Metazoa, Mollusca, Bivalvia, Pectinida, Pectinidae. The transcript is spliced from 3 exons.
CUAAUAACACAACCCGGUAACAUAUGAUGGACGAUGGACGUCAAUGAUAGACUGAUAGAUAUAUAUUGUAGCACAAAUGGAUUGAUAUAUUUCUAGUUGGUUUCAGGAGCCAACUCCGCAAUGGCAGCCGAAGGCAGCGCCGUGGACAAGUACGAUCUCCAGAGUGACCUCCCCUCACUGGACUGGGAAUUAAACCUUGUACUGGACGAAAUAUCUCAGGAAAUGACUGAGGAAGAUGUCGACAGGAUGAAGAA